GGAGGGGUGGCAGAGUGGUCGAAUGCGGCGGUCUUGAAAACCGUUGUGGGCGAUGCCCACCGGGGGUUCGAAUCCCUCCCCCUCCGCCA
This 89-nucleotide transfer RNA is filed under the name Verrucomicrobiota bacterium. Its description in RNAcentral is "Verrucomicrobia bacterium tRNA-Ser". It matches the Rfam family "tRNA". Rfam says of the family: Transfer RNA (tRNA) molecules are approximately 80 nucleotides in length. Their secondary structure includes four short double-helical elements and three loops (D, anti-codon, and T loops). Lineage: Bacteria; Pseudomonadati; Verrucomicrobiota. The record is from RNAcentral.